Molecule: ribosomal RNA, 493 nt
Filed under: uncultured bacterium
Lineage: Bacteria
Description: partial 16S ribosomal RNA
Rfam family: Bacterial small subunit ribosomal RNA
Source: RNAcentral
ACGAACGCUGGCGGCGUGCUUAACACAUGCAAGUCGAACGGUGAAGCGCCUUCCUUUUUGGUGGGUGUGGAUGAGUGGCGAACGGGUGGGUAACACGUGAGUAACCUGCCCCCUUCUUCUGGAUAACCGCAUGAAAGUGUGGCUAAUACGGGAUAUUCUGGGUCUGUCGCAUGAUGGGUCUGGGAAAGAUAUUGUUUCGGUGGGGGAUGGGCUCGCGGCCUAUCAGCUUGUUGGUGGGGUGAUGGCGUACCAAGGCGGUGACGGGUAGCCGGCCUGAGAGGGUGGACGGUCACACUGGGACUGGGGCACGGCCCAGACUCCUACGGGAGGCAGCAGUGGGGAAUAUUGCACAGUGGGCGCAAGCCUGAUGCAGCGACGCCGCGUGAGGGAUGGAGGCCUUCGGGUUGUGAACCUCUUUCGCCAGUGAAGCAGGCCUGCCUCGUUUGUGGGUGGGUUGACGGUAGCUGGAUAAGAAGCGCCGGCUAACUACGUG